GAUUCAAUCCAGCAACCUUCCGGUUACUGGCCCAACGCUCUAACCACUAGGCUAUCUGCCGUAGUGUUCAGUCAUCCGCAUUCAUAGACACACUGGCAUGUYGUUGGUAAAGAUUGAAAAAAGUAAGGGGCCUAGACAGCUGCCCUGGAGAAUCCCUGAUUCUACCUGGAUUAUGUUGGAGAGGACUACACYCUCGGUGUUCGGUUAUCCACAUUACAGCAGGGAGUGUAAAGCCAUAACACAUACGUUUUUCCAGAAGCAGACUCUGAUCGAUAACGUCAAAAACCGCACUAAAGUCAAGACAAAACAGUCCCCACAAACUUUUUAUCAUAAAUGUAUCACAGCCAAUCACCAGUCAUGUGUGCAAGUGCUGUGCUUCCCAAUAAGCAUGCUGAAAGUCUGUUGUCAAUUUGUUUACUGCAAAAUAGCCUUGUAUCUAGUCAAACACUGUAAAAAAGCCUGUCCCUUUAAGAACUCAGUGAUGACAUCAYAGCUAUCACAAGCUGGCAGAGUGUUUAGUUCAUUACCAAGUGCAGCUGGCUACCUACUGCUGUGAACACAAAUCUCAGUUUUGGACAUUAUUUUCUUUCUGGACAAUUUAUUCAUCACUGUGCGUGAAAACCAAAACUCGGCGAAGUUUGGUCGGAUGUUGAAACGUGAGCGAGACUCUCUGCGUGCCGAGGUGGAGAGACACCGUCAGCAGCAGCAGCAUCUCCAGGCAGAGGCCCCACCCUGCCCUACCCCAGCAAGGCAUGCCGUGACCGGUCACCCCACCUGCUCCAGGCCCCGGCUUCGGCCUACUCCUUCCCUGGAGAGCCAGAGCUGCCACCCUGCCCGACAGAUGUGCUCCCCUACCUGGUGUGCUCCCCAGGCAAGUCCCAGGCUCCAGGUCUGGCCUAGCAUGGCUCCUGUGUGUCUACUGGCAGUGGGCACUUAGAAAAAAGAGGGUUCGACUCCAGUCAGCCAUCUCCUGACCAGGCGAUAGGGAUGGGAAUUAGAUCGUAUGACCCAGAAGACCCCUACUGCCCUU
Long non-coding RNA from Salvelinus sp. IW2-2015, 1030 nucleotides. RefSeq lists it as uncharacterized. NCBI's taxonomy places the organism in Eukaryota, Metazoa, Chordata, Actinopteri, Salmoniformes, Salmonidae. The record is from RefSeq and is a predicted model, not a curated record.